AUACGGAGGAUGCGAGCGUUAUCCGGAUUUAUUGGGUUUAAAGGGUGCGUAGGCGGACGAUUAAGUCAGCUGUGAAAUGCCCGCGCUUAACGCGGGAAGUGCAGUUGAUACUGGUUGUCUGGAGUGCCGUUGCCGUGGGGGGAAUGUGUAGUGUAGCGGUGAAAUGCAUAGAUAUUACACAGAACGCCGAUUGUGAAGACUCCACUCGAAGCGGUAACUGACGCUGAGGCACGAAAGCGUGGAGAUCGAACAGGAUUAAAUACCCUUGUAGUCCACGCAGUAAACGAGGAUGACUAGCCGUCGGCGAUAUACCGCCGGUGGCCAAGCGAAAGCGAUAAGUCAUCCACCUGGGGAGUACGACCGCAACGGUGAAACUCAAAGGAAUUGACGGGG
RNAcentral lists this ribosomal RNA (393 nucleotides) under uncultured bacterium. RNAcentral describes it as "partial 16S ribosomal RNA". It matches the Rfam family "Bacterial small subunit ribosomal RNA", at positions 523 to 918 of the family's 1533-position model. The record is from RNAcentral.